AAGCUGCGACUACGGUGCGAUUCGAGCGGCAGCGAGAAAGCGUUGCCGCAGGCAACGACCCGAAGGGCGAAGCGCGCAGCGCUGAGUCAUCCUUCCCCCACCACCA
Molecule: small RNA, 106 nt
Filed under: Salmonella enterica subsp. enterica serovar Enteritidis
Lineage: Bacteria; Pseudomonadati; Pseudomonadota; Gammaproteobacteria; Enterobacterales; Enterobacteriaceae
Description: partial RtT sRNA
Rfam family: RtT RNA
About the family: This family represents a bacterial cis-regulatory element known as RtT RNA. The exact function of RtT is unknown although it is thought that it may be involved in changing the cellular response in relation to amino acid starvation.
Source: RNAcentral